UGUUGGAAGGGUGGCUAAUGGGGCGAUAAAAUUGGAACGAUACAGAGAAGAUUAGCAUGGCCCCUGCGCAAGGAUCUAAAGUGAACUUGACAUGUAUGUAAUGAUUUA
RNAcentral lists this small nuclear RNA (108 nucleotides) under Eucalyptus grandis. The record is from RNAcentral. Lineage: Eukaryota; Viridiplantae; Streptophyta; Magnoliopsida; Myrtales; Myrtaceae.